Molecule: ribosomal RNA, 292 nt
Filed under: uncultured Glomeraceae
Lineage: Eukaryota; Fungi; Glomeromycota; Glomeromycetes; Glomerales; Glomeraceae
Description: partial small subunit ribosomal RNA
Rfam family: Eukaryotic small subunit ribosomal RNA
Source: RNAcentral
AGCAGCCGCGGUAAUUCCAGCUCCAAUAGCGUAUAUUAAAGUUGUUGCAGUUAAAAAGCUCGUAGUUGAAUUUCGGGGUUAGUAGGUUGGUCAUGCCACUGGUAUGUACUGAUCUUACUGAUUCCUCCUUCCUGAUGAACCGUAAUGCCAUUAAUUUGGUGUUGCGGGGAGACUGGACUGUUACUUUGAAAAAAUUAGAGUGUUUAAAGCAGGCUAACGCUUGAAUACAUUAGCAUGGAAUAAUGAAAUAGGACGUUCGAUCCUAUUUUGUUGGUUUCUAGGAUUGACGUAA